UACGUAGGGACCGAGCGUUGUCCGGAUUCAUUGGGCGUAAAGAGCUCGUAGGCGGCCACUCAAGUCGAAUGUGAAACCUCGAGGCUUAACCUCGAGCCUGCAUUCGAUACUGGGCGGCUAGAGUCUGGUAGGGGGAUCUGGAAUUCCUGGUGUAGCGGUGGAAUGCGCAGAUAUCAGGAGGAACACCCGUAGCGAAGGCGGCACUCUGGGCCGAUACUGACGCUGAGGAGCGAAAGCGUGGGGAGCGAACAGG
RNAcentral lists this ribosomal RNA (253 nucleotides) under uncultured bacterium. RNAcentral describes it as "partial 16S ribosomal RNA". It matches the Rfam family "Bacterial small subunit ribosomal RNA", at positions 524 to 776 of the family's 1533-position model. The record is from RNAcentral.